GUUGAAAUUGUGAGUUUCAGUUGAUGGUGAACACUGUCAAACAAGUAGUGCCGAUCCAAUGUUUGUUUCUUGUUAGAAUCAAUGUAUCUACAGCAGUGUGAGAUAGAGGCCCUAUCAUCGUCAGUUUUCAGAGGAUUAGAGUCUUUAAAGGAACUGUUUCUGGCUCACAACAACUUGAAACAUUUCGACUUACAUGUGUUUUCUUUUCUCAGGUUCCUGGCUCACAACAACUUGAAACAUUUUGACUUACAUGUGUUUUCUUUUCUCAGGUUCCUGGCUCACAACAACUUGAAACAUUUUGACUUACAUGUGUUUUCUUUUCUCAGGUUCCUGCCUCACAACAACUUGAAACAUUUCAACGUACACGUGUUUUUUUUUCUCAGGUUCCUGGC
Long non-coding RNA from Limulus polyphemus (Atlantic horseshoe crab), 392 nucleotides. RefSeq lists it as uncharacterized. The record is from RefSeq and is a predicted model, not a curated record. Lineage: Eukaryota; Metazoa; Arthropoda; Merostomata; Xiphosura; Limulidae. The transcript is spliced from 3 exons.